Cervus elaphus (red deer) is the source of this 1169-nucleotide long non-coding RNA. RefSeq lists it as uncharacterized. The record is from RefSeq and is a predicted model, not a curated record. The transcript is spliced from 11 exons. Lineage: Eukaryota; Metazoa; Chordata; Mammalia; Artiodactyla; Cervidae.
UAGCAUUCGAAUUGGUUGACUGAGUAAAGAUCAACCUCACCAGUGUGUGUGGGCUUCAUGCAAUCCCCUGAAGGCCUGAAUAGAACAAAAGGCAGAGGAAAGGAUUACUCCACAGCGAGUACUGGAAGGAUGUUUGUCUUAUCACUGUAUCCCCAGUGCCUGACAUAAUAUGACUGUUAUCACUUCUGUUUUACACAAAAGAAAUUGGAAGCACCAGGAAGCUUAGCGACCUGCCUGAUGUCCCAGAGCUAUUAAUGGUCACAACUUUGGCAAUUGUCUCUUCUUACGUCCUGGUUCUGGGAAACAAGAAGAUUGCUCAGCCUUACUCCAAGGACACGUGUUCCACAGGACACAAGAUGAGAAAACAUUGGUCUAAGAUGCACGUGGGAUCUUAGCUCCCCCACCAGGGAAAGGACCUACGCCCCCUGCAUUGGAAGGUGAAGUCUUAAACACUGGACUGCCAGGGAAGUCCCCCAUAAAGGCUCAUUGCUUUUUAAUCACAUUUUACACAGAUUUCUGCCUUCUUCUAAAAAUUAAAAAAAUAUGACCCAUCUUCAUGUAGCACGUUCUCAUCAGCAAUAAUCAGUUGGAACUGAAGAUUCAUUUUUAGCGCACAUUCCAGACCUCCACACUGUUGGCUCGUGUGAAAUCAGAUCGGGUAUAUCAAACAAAAGGAAGUGUGAACAUGACUGAAACUACUGAUAGGAAGACAGAAGUCUCUAGUAUAAAAUCUAUGAAAAUAUGGAUUGAAUUCAACAAAUAUAUAGGAACCAUUAAAGGCUUCCAAGCGUGAGGGUAUCAGGAUGAGAUCUGCACUUCAGGAAGAGUGUGGGCUUUUGUUUUUCUUGUUCUCUGACACACAUUGCCAGCCACGGCCUACCAGGAUCUUCUCCCCCAGAACAUGUAACUUAAGGAGGCAUUGCGUCUGUUUCCCUCAGUACCCCAGGCUGACAUUUCACAAAGUACUUUUCAUCAUGACUUCUGCAGAAGGUCUGAAAAAGCAUCUGAGGCCAUAAUGAAAUUAUCAGAUUUUUAGGGGACCUGCAGCUGAUUCGUGAGCCGCUCCUGGCUCCAGCGAGGCACUGCUGGGGAAGAGACCUGUGAGGUGCUGCGAGAUGGGAGGGACCCAACGGCUGGAGGAGAGAGCAGACUUGCAUCACCACGAAAAC